UUUUUUUUUUUUUUUUAGAUUUAAACUGUAUCAGAUUAAAUUCGAAAGUGCUUCAAAAAACAUCGAAUCAGCGAAUAAUGUUUACCGGUUGAGAGCACUUUAUAGUUUCGAAAGCGCCAUAUAAUCGAUUUGUUCAAGGCUUUUCGAUUCGUUGACACGUGAAGUGAGUGGCUUCACCUAUUCCCAGAACCAGGACCACCAUUUGCACCUGUCGGGCGUGUGUGAAUAUCCUUCGCAGCAUUUUCGCUCUGCGAAUCCCCGAAUCCCGGCCAUCAAAUGCGGCUCAACCCCGCUGGAAAUUGAAUUCUCCGUAAAUACCACGAAAACCGUAUAACCCGUCUGUACGGUUAUAUCUUGUUGCCCUCCAGUGGAGACUGUUUUUCUGUCUGAUAACUUGCCGCCGGCUGCAGCAGCUGGUGCAUUCUGCCCGGGAUGCGAGGUUGCUCCUCCGGCUUGGGACAUGCCACGGCCUACAUAAAUAUGCAUAUGCUCCGCAAACAUUUGCCAAGUUAUUUGCGUUGGAUGCGGAAAAGGGUUGUUUGUGGUGCCCAAAAUUCAUGCGAAAACUGCUGACAUUUUCGAAAAUAAAUGCAACGUCAGAAAUAUUGCACAUGCAUGCAAAUACGCGACAGGCAGCGUGAUAAAUACACAAAUCGCAGUCAGCUUUUGCCGGUUAGACAUCCGUUUAAUUGAGUCAACAUCGCAGCGCAGCUCGGCGGAAGAUUCAUGGAUUCCGCAGGAGCAGGAGCAGGCCCCAUGGGAGUGGGUUUGGGGCGGUUCGACGGAAGGAGGAGCAGAAACGGGUGGCGUCAAAUUAACGCCGUCAACUUUUAGCAGCGUGCACAGAAAACAUUAAAAACUAAUUUAUGGAUUUGCAAGCCAACUCCCGCGUUGAUUUAUGUACACUCGACGAAAAGAAGCCCAAAUUGGAAAACGUAUAAAAGUCAAUUUUGAACUUAAGCUUGGAAUUCAAGGAGC
Non-coding RNA from Drosophila melanogaster (fruit fly), 978 nucleotides. Lineage: Eukaryota; Metazoa; Arthropoda; Insecta; Diptera; Drosophilidae. The record is from Ensembl.